This 301-nucleotide ribosomal RNA is filed under the name uncultured bacterium. RNAcentral describes it as "partial 16S ribosomal RNA". It matches the Rfam family "Bacterial small subunit ribosomal RNA", at positions 509 to 807 of the family's 1533-position model. The record is from RNAcentral.
CAGCCGCCGCGGUAAUACGUAGGUGGCAAGCGUUGUCCGGAAUUAUUGGGCGUAAAGGACUCGCAGGCGGUUUCUUAAGUCUGAUGUGAAAGCCCCCGGCUCAACCGGGGAGGGUCAUUGGAAACUGGGAAACUUGAGUGUAGAAGAGGAGAGUGGAAUUCCACGUGUAGCGGUGAAAUGCGUAGAGAUGUGGAGGAACACCAGUGGCGAAGGCGACUCUCUGGUCUGUAACUGACGCUGAGGAGCGAAAGCGUGGGGAGCGAACAGGAUUAGAUACCCGCGUAGUCCCUGUCUCUUAUAC